CAGCAGUCGCCGCGGUAAUACGAAGGGUGCAAGCGUUAAUCGGAAUUACUGGGCGUAAAGCGUGCGCAGGCGGUUUGUUAAGACAGAUGUGAAAUCCCCGGGCUCAACCUGGGAACUGCAUUUGUGACUGGCAAGCUAGAGUGUGGCAGAGGAGGGUGGAAUUCCGCGUGUAGCAGUGAAAUGCGUAGAUAUGCGGAGGAACACCGAUGGCGAAGGCAGCCCCCUGGGCCAACACUGACGCUCAUGCACGAAAGCGUGGGGAGCAAACAGGAUUAGAUACCCCUGUAGUCCCUGUCUCUUAUAC
This 304-nucleotide ribosomal RNA is filed under the name uncultured bacterium. Its description in RNAcentral is "partial 16S ribosomal RNA". It matches the Rfam family "Bacterial small subunit ribosomal RNA", at positions 509 to 807 of the family's 1533-position model. The record is from RNAcentral.